GUGUCAGCAGCCGCGGUAAUACGAAGGGGGCUAGCGUUGCUCGGAAUCACUGGGCGUAAAGGGCGCGUAGGCGGCCAUUCAAGUCGGAGGUGAAAGCCCAGGGCUCAACCCUGGAAUUGCCUUCGAUACUGUUUGGCUAGAGACCGGAAGAGGUAAGUGGAACUGCGAGUGUAGAGGUGAAAUUCGUAGAUAUUCGCAAGAACACCAGUGGCGAAGGCGGCUUACUGGUCCGGUUCUGACGCUGAGGCGCGAAAGCGUGGGGAGCAAACAGGAUUAGAAACCCCCGUAGUCC
Molecule: ribosomal RNA, 292 nt
Filed under: uncultured bacterium
Lineage: Bacteria
Description: partial 16S ribosomal RNA
Rfam family: Bacterial small subunit ribosomal RNA
Source: RNAcentral